Molecule: ribosomal RNA, 253 nt
Filed under: uncultured bacterium
Lineage: Bacteria
Description: partial 16S ribosomal RNA
Rfam family: Bacterial small subunit ribosomal RNA
Source: RNAcentral
UACGGGGGGGGCAAGCGUUGUUCGGAAUUACUGGGCGUAAAGGGCUCGUAGGUGGCCAACUAAGUCAGACGUGAAAUCCCUCGGCUUAACCGGGGAACUGCGUCUGAUACUGGAUGGCUUGAGUUCGGGAGAGGGAUGCGGAAUUCCAGGUGUAGCGGUGAAAUGCGUAGAUAUCGGGAGGAACACCAGUGGCGAAGGCGACUUCCUGGCCUGUUCUUGACGCUGAGGCGCGAAAGCCAGGGGAGCAAACGGG